AUAUUGGGCCUAAAGCAUCCGUAGCUUGUYCUGCAAGUCYUCCGUUAAAUCCACCUGCUCAACAGAUGGGCUGCGGAGGAUACUACAGGGCUAGGAGGCGGGAGAGGCAAGCGGUACUCASUGGGUAGGGGUAAAAUCCUCUGAUCCACUGAAGACCACCAGUGGCGAAGGCGGCUUGCCAGAACGCGCUCGACGGUGAGGGAUGAAAGCUGGGGGAGCAAACCGGAUUAGAUACCCGGGUAGUCCCAGCUGUAAACGAUGCAGACUCGGUGAUGGGUUGGCYUCGAGCCAACCCAGUGCCGCAGGGAAGCCGUUAAGUCUGCCGCCUGGGGAGUACGGUCGCAAGACUGAAACUUAAAGGAAUUGGCGG
RNAcentral lists this ribosomal RNA (370 nucleotides) under uncultured archaeon. RNAcentral's name for it is "bacterial SSU rRNA". It matches the Rfam family "Archaeal small subunit ribosomal RNA", at positions 501 to 871 of the family's 1478-position model. The record is from RNAcentral.